This 497-nucleotide ribosomal RNA is filed under the name uncultured bacterium. RNAcentral's name for it is "partial 16S ribosomal RNA". It matches the Rfam family "Bacterial small subunit ribosomal RNA", at positions 28 to 507 of the family's 1533-position model. The record is from RNAcentral.
GAUGAACGCUGGCGGCGUGCCUAAUACAUGCAAGUCGAGCGAACGGACGAGAAGCUUGCUUCUCUGAUGUUAGCGGCGGACGGGUGAGUAACACGUGGAUAACCUAUCUAUAAGACUGGGAUAACUUCGGGAAACCGGAGCUAAUACCGGAUAAUAUUUUGAACCGCAUGGUUCAAAAGUGAAAGACGGUCUUGCUGUCACUUAUAGAUGGAUCCGCGCUGCAUUAGCUAGUUGGUAAGGUAACGGCUUACCAAGGCAACGAUGCAUAGCCGACCUGAGAGGGUGAUCGGCCACACUGGAACUGAGACACGGUCCAGACUCCUACGGGAGGCAGCAGUAGGGAAUCUUCCGCAAUGGGCGAAAGCCUGACGAAGCAACGCCGCGUGAGUGAUGAAGGUCUUCGGAUCGUAAAACUCUGUUAUUAGGGAAGAACAUAUGUGUAAGUAACUGUGCACAUCUUGACGGUACCUAAUCAGAAAGCCACGGCUAACUACGUG